This 1240-nucleotide long non-coding RNA is filed under the name Anser cygnoides (Swan goose). RNAcentral's name for it is "lncRNA (ENSACDG00005013966.1)". The record is from RNAcentral. Lineage: Eukaryota; Metazoa; Chordata; Aves; Anseriformes; Anatidae.
UGUCCUGGGGUGUGGGGCGUGAUGGGGACCCCACAUUUUGGGGUGUGGGGUCGCUGCGGUGCACAGAGAAGGAUGGGGACCCCCUGUUCUGGGGUGGGGGGUCCCCCUUGUCCUGGGGUGCAGGGUGGGGUGGGGACCCCUCAUUUUGGGGUGUGGUGUCCCUGCAGCUCACGGGGCAGGUUGGGGACCCCCUGUUACAGGGUGUGGGGUCCCCCUGGUGCACGGGGCUGGAUGGGGACCCCUUGUCCCCAAGUGUGGGUUGGGGUGGGGACCCCAUGUCCCUGGGUUUGGGGUUCCCCAGGUGCAGGGGUGCAAGGCGGGAUGGGGACCCCCCAUUUUGGGGUUCGGUGUCCCUGCAGUGCACAGAGCAGGAUGGGGACCCCCUGUUAUAGGGUGUGGGGUCCCCCUGGUGCACGGGGCAGGAUGGGGACCCCAGGACCCGGGGUGGGGGGUCCCUGUGGUGCAGGGGUGCAGGAAUGGAUGGAGACCCCAUAUCCCGUGCUUUGGGGUGGGAUGGGGGCCCCGUAUUUUGGGGUGAGGCAUCCCCGCAGCGCACAGGGCUGGAUGGGGACCCCUUGUCCUGGCGUGCAGGGCGGGGUGGGGACCCCAUAUCCCUGGGUUUGGGGUCCCCCAGGUACAGGGGUGCAAGGUGGGAUGGGGACCCCACAGCCCGUGGUUUGGGGCGGGAGGGGAGCCCCGUAUUUUGGGGUGAGGCAUCCCCGCAGCGCACAGGGCUGGAUGGGGACCCCUUGUCCUGGCGUGCAGGGCAGGAUGGGGACCCCAUAUCCCUGGGUUUGGGGUCCCCCUUGUACAGGGGUGCAAGGCGGGAUGGGGACCCCCCAUUUUGGGGUUCGGUGUCCCUGCAGCAGGAUGGGGACCCCCUGUUAUAGGGUGUGGGGUCUCCCUGGUGCACGGGGCAGGAUGGGGACCCCAGGACCCGGGGUGGGGGGUCCCUGCGGUGCAGGGGUGCAGGGCGGGACGGGGACCCCAAAACCCGUGCUGUGGGGGGGCACAGAGACCCCCCAUCUUGGGGUGCGGGGCCCCCCCGGUGCAAGGCUGCAUGGCCAGGGGGUGCCCCCCCCACCGAAGCCCCCCACCCCCGGCACGGGGGGGUCCUGGGGGGCUGGGGGGGCGCCAGGUUCCCUGGGGGGCACUUUUGGGGCUGGGGGGCCACCCGCACCCCAAGGNNNNNNNNNNNNNNNNNNNNNNNNNNNNNNNNNNNNNNNNNNNNNNNNNNNNN